UGGACUAAUUAGUGCUGCUCUCAGGCCUGUGGGCAGGUAAUAUUGGGUUCGAUUUGACAUUUCCUCACUGCUCUUUUAGUUUAGUGAUCUUGUUAGGGUGGGGAACUUGCAAGGGACCCUGAGCAGCAGGUCUAUUCAGCCGCGAGAAUCUGGAGACCCAAAUGAUAACAUUACCAUGAAUGAAGGUUUAUUAAACAUGAUUAGUUCACAACAUGUUAACAGCAGCAGCCAUUUCACACACUUAAGAAACAGUUUCCCUAAGCAGGAGGGAGACUCGUCCUCCUGUGAAGAAACAAUGUGUCCUGGUGGAGAACUGUGGCGGCUCGUGGUUCAGUUAGCAGCGUUUGGCGGCCCCUCUGGGAUGAGAGACAUGAAGAAGGUGAUGAUGAAGGACCAGGUGGAGGACAGGAAACCCGUGUGUGGGGCGCUGUUCGGAUCUUCUGCUGCUUCCUCUCCACUUUCCCCAUCAUCGUCUGACCCAUCGUCCAACACUCCUUCCUAUAGUGUAAUAGGAGGACAAUCGGGUGUUAAACAGUAGCACUAAAAUGCACCAGAUUAUAUUUGACUGAGAUGAGAUUCCAUUAUGUUAACUUGAGCAUUUGCUCACUAAUGCAAAGUUACUCCCAUGUCUGACCAAUUCAGACUCAUCGUAUGCAGAUAAAGUAUUUCAGUCAAUGUCCAUUUUGUACUUUAAAGUAAACCUGUAACCAACAUUUAAAGACAAAUAAAUUCCAUUUACUUUCAUAACUGUAACAUGGAUUUGGUGACUUGAAAAAACUGUACUUUUACUUUUGAUUGAAAGUGUUCUUUGAUACAUUUCACAUCACAUCCGCUGAAGAGUUAAAGCAAAACUCUCCAGCAAAAAAUAAUAUAUAAUGUAUCAUAUGAAAUGCUUGAUCAUGUUUGAUCCUCCAGCGUGACUUCUACAUUGGUUUAGGAUAUUUUAACUGCAGUGAUUUGAGUGAGGCAUUUCUGAUGUUA
Notothenia coriiceps (black rockcod) is the source of this 981-nucleotide long non-coding RNA. RefSeq lists it as uncharacterized. The transcript is spliced from 3 exons. NCBI's taxonomy places the organism in Eukaryota, Metazoa, Chordata, Actinopteri, Perciformes, Nototheniidae. The record is from RefSeq and is a predicted model, not a curated record.